GACGAACGCUGGCGGCGUGCUUAACACAUGCAAGUCGUACGGUAAGGCCCUUUCGGGGGUACACGAGUGGCGCACGGGUGAGUAACACGUGAGUAACCUGCCCACAACUUUGGGAUAACGCUAGGAAACUGGUGCUAAUACUGGAUAUGUGCCCCUGCUGCAUGGUGGGGGUUGGAAAGCUCCGGCGGUUGUGGAUGGACUCGCGGCCUAUCAGCUUGUUGGUGGGGUAGUGGCCUACCAAGGCGGCGACGGGUAGCCGGCCUGAGAGGGUGACCGGCCACAUUGGGACUGAGAUACGGCCCAGACUCCUACGGGAGGCAGCAGUGGGGAAUAUUGCACAAGGGGCGCAAGCCUGAUGCAGCAACGCCGCGUGCGGGAGGACGGCCUUCGGGUUGUAAACCGCUUUCAGCAGGGACGAAGCUUUUUGUGACGGUACCUGCAGAAGAAGCACCGGCUAACUACGUG
This 465-nucleotide ribosomal RNA is filed under the name uncultured bacterium. Its description in RNAcentral is "partial 16S ribosomal RNA". It matches the Rfam family "Bacterial small subunit ribosomal RNA", at positions 28 to 507 of the family's 1533-position model. The record is from RNAcentral.